CCUACGGGAGGCAGCAGUGGGGAAUAUUGCACAAUGGGCGAAAGCCUGAUGCAGCAACGCCGCGUGAGUGAUGAAGGCCUUCGGGUUGUAAAGCUCUGUCUUCUGGGACGAUAAUGACGGUACCAGAGGAGGAAGCCACGGCUAACUACGUGCCAGCAGCCGCGGUAAUACGUAGGUGGCAAGCGUUGUCCGGAUUUACUGGGCGUAAAGGAUGCGUAGGCGGAUACUUAAGUCAGAUGUGAAAAUCCCGGGCUUAACUUGGGAACUGCAUUUGAAACUGGGUAUCUAGAGUGCGGGAGAGGAGAGUGGAAUUCCUAGUGUAGCGGUGAAAUGCGUAGAGAUUAGGAAGAACACCAGUGGCGAAGGCGACUCUCUGGACCGUAACUGACGCUGAGGCAUGAAAGCGUGGGGAGCAAACAGGAUUAGAUACCCUGGUAGUCCACGCCGUAAACUAUGAAUACUAGGUGUGGGAGUUGUCAUGACUUCCGUGCCGCAGUUAACACAAUAAGUAUUCCGCCUGGGGAGUACGGUCGCAAGACCAAAACUCAAAGGAAUUGACGG
RNAcentral lists this ribosomal RNA (561 nucleotides) under uncultured bacterium. RNAcentral's name for it is "bacterial SSU rRNA". It matches the Rfam family "Bacterial small subunit ribosomal RNA", at positions 338 to 916 of the family's 1533-position model. The record is from RNAcentral.